This is a long non-coding RNA of Oreochromis niloticus (Nile tilapia), 2019 nucleotides long. RefSeq lists it as uncharacterized. NCBI's taxonomy places the organism in Eukaryota, Metazoa, Chordata, Actinopteri, Cichliformes, Cichlidae. The record is from RefSeq and is a predicted model, not a curated record. The transcript has 3 exons.
AAGCUGCAAGUGCUUUCUAUGAAAGUCUGAUACGGGUCCCCCUAAACUUCUGUUAGAAUGGUGGGAAACAUUGCUCCUGUGAGAACAGUAUAGUGGACUUCAUCGCCACUGACCCACAUUUAUUAGGGUGUGACACGAACUUGUGGACAGAGUACCGAGCUGCUGCUUUGCCAAGUGGAUUUCUGGCUGCGGGCAGAGGACCCGACACAUCAGUGUGUUUUAAUUUGUUUUAAACUGGUGUAAUUCGACAGACUGACUGCUGCGGCUGUUGAUUGUUUUGUUUUUUUUGUUUUAUUUUUCUGUAUCAGUAGGCACCACAGAUAUUGAUUCUUUUAGUAUUUUAACCCUUUUUUUAAAUAUAUAUAUAUAUAUAUAUGUAGUUGCGGACGGUGAAGGCGCUGCGUGGAAAGCAAAUCCUUUUUUUGUCUCGCCGCUUUUGCAUGCACAGCGGUGGGCCUGAGUGAAGACGGCACUGAAGAUUUGCCUUUUUCUAUAGUGUUUUGCCCAUUUGGGGUCAUGUGUGAGUUGUGUUAAGGUUCAUUUUAAGUAUAGAGAGGUGGAGGAGAUCGGAAUAACACACUGUCCCUGCCAGGUGGAGUCAAAUGAUGAUUUUAAUGAAACGUGUGGGAGAAUGAGCUGACCCUGUACGCAGACAGGAGGCCCCAGUGGCAGACCCAGGACACGCUGGAGAGAUUAUAUGUCUUGGUUGGCCUGGGAACGCCUUGAUGUUCCCCCGGACAAGCUGGAGGAGAUGGCUGGGGAGAGGGAGGUCUGGCCUCUCUGCUUAGGCUGCUGAACCCACAACCCAGACCCAGAUAAGCGAACAAAGAUGGAUGAAUGGAUAAAUAAUGAAAAAAAAAUCCACUUUAGGUCAAUAUGACACUACAAACUGCAUUCACUGCCCUCAGGUAACCUCAGAAUCUGUUUUGGGGCAAAUUGUGUGUUAGAGUGGAAAGUCAAAUUCCCGAGUCCCAGAAGCUCUGAUGUUUACAAGACCCAGCAACCUUUUCUCCCACAAAGGACGGAUGAUAUUUUAGGAGAACAAUGGAGCCAACUCUUAGGUGGUUGCCAUUUUUCAAGUGGUCUUAAAUUUUUCUCAAUCAGCUCCAGGUGAGGGAGUCUGUUGGCCCUGCCCAUGGGUGGAUACGAGGGAAGCUUAGGCACCAAGUGCAAUCUUACAGUCAAUUACCCAGGCCAUAACAGUUUUGUCUGCAGAAACUGGGUUUUUCUUGGUCUGCACAGCUGAAGUCCAUUUAUGUGUACAGUUCUAGUAAUUUCCUUUUUUGAGACUUUGUGACUUGGCGAAGUGAUUCACUAGUGUCUUGGCAGUUGUUGUGUGUUGAUUAGACACAUCUCUCAAUUUUCGAAUCUUUUGCUUCAAUGGGGCUGGGGUCUUUUUCAAUCCGGAGCGUGGGUGUUCAAACUUCCUGCUCUGACUUGACCUCAGGAUGUAGAGACAAGAAUCAAGUGCACCCAAAAGGAAUAAGCGCAUCAGUGGUCAUGUGCUCAGCACGCAGAGGGGAGACCAUCGCAUUUGGUUUUGUAUGAUUAAGUGUGCGUUAACGAACCUGUAAGCGUUAUUCCCUUUGACAGGUUAGCGGGUAUGAUAAGGGCUAUAAUUGUGCAUGUUAAAGUUAUGCCUCGGUAUAUUGAUACCAUGUUGGUAGGAUUAUUUAAUUAUUUAGUACUAAGUUAAUAGUAUGAUGAUUACAUCCAGUGGAUAAAGGACUUUUCUAUUGUUUAUUGUUUAGUUUAACUGUUGCUAGCUUGCCAUGUUCAUGCUUUACUAUUAACAACUUAUAUGACAGCUGCUAUUUAGCCAAUUUAUGGUCAACAGUGACCCCAAGCAGCUACCUGAAUGCUAUUCCAACAGAGGUCGAUAAUCUUGUUAAUAAUUGUACCUCACUACGUACAACUCUUGAUACUGUAGCUCCUGUAAAAAGUAAGGCCUCAAAAGAGAAGUACUUAAUUCUCAAACACGUAACCUAAAGCAGAUAACUCGUAAGCUGGAGAGGAAAU